GCCUUCGUGGUGAAACGGUAGCACACUCGGCGCAUAUUCGAGAGGUCCAGGUUCGAGCCCCGGCAAGGCCA
RNAcentral lists this transfer RNA (71 nucleotides) under Stegodyphus mimosarum. It matches the Rfam family "tRNA". Rfam says of the family: Transfer RNA (tRNA) molecules are approximately 80 nucleotides in length. The record is from Rfam by way of RNAcentral. Lineage: Eukaryota; Metazoa; Arthropoda; Arachnida; Araneae; Eresidae.